AACGAACGCUGCGGCAUGCCUAACACAUGCAAGUCGAACGAGACCUUCGGGUCUAGUGGCGCACGGGUGCGUAACGCGUGGGAACCUGCCCUUAGGUUCGGAAUAACUCCCCGAAAGGGGUGCUAAUACCGGAUAAUGUCUUCGGACCAAAGAUUUAUCGCCUUUGGAUGGGCCCGCGUUGGAUUAGCUAGUUGGUAGGGUAAAAGCCUACCAAGGCGACGAUCCAUAGCUGGUCUGAGAGGAUGAUCAGCCACACUGGGACUGAGACACGGCCCAGACUCCUACGGGAGGCAGCAGUGGGGAAUAUUGGACCAUGGGCGAAAGCCUGAUCCAGCAAUGCCGCGUGAGUGAUGAAGGCCUUAGGGUUGUAAAGCUCUUUUACCCGGGAUGAUAAUGACAGUACCUGGAGAAUAAGCUCCGGCUAACUCCGUG
RNAcentral lists this ribosomal RNA (432 nucleotides) under uncultured bacterium. RNAcentral's name for it is "partial 16S ribosomal RNA". It matches the Rfam family "Bacterial small subunit ribosomal RNA", at positions 29 to 507 of the family's 1533-position model. The record is from RNAcentral.